UACGGAGGGGGCUAGCGUUGUUCGGAAUUACUGGGCGUAAAGCGCGCGUAGGCGGCUUUGUAGGUUAGAGGUGAAAGCCCGGAGCUCAACUCCGGAAUUGCCCUUAAGACUGCAUCGCUAGAAUCAUGGAGAGGUGAGUGGAAUUCCGAGUGUAGAGGUGAAAUUCGUAGAUAUUCGGAAGAACACCAGUGGCGAAGGCGACUCACUGGACAUGUAUUGACGCUGAGGUGCGAAAGCGUGGGGAGCAAACAGG
This 253-nucleotide ribosomal RNA is filed under the name uncultured bacterium. RNAcentral describes it as "partial 16S ribosomal RNA". It matches the Rfam family "Bacterial small subunit ribosomal RNA", at positions 524 to 776 of the family's 1533-position model. The record is from RNAcentral.